Poeciliopsis prolifica (blackstripe livebearer) is the source of this 504-nucleotide long non-coding RNA. RefSeq lists it as uncharacterized. The transcript has 4 exons. Lineage: Eukaryota; Metazoa; Chordata; Actinopteri; Cyprinodontiformes; Poeciliidae. The record is from RefSeq and is a predicted model, not a curated record.
CGUUGGCCUGCUGUCGCUCCAGAAAGACUGUGGAACACAAAGCAGCAUAAACCACAUGCCUGGAGUGGAAAACAUCAGUUCACCUGUUCAGGUGGAUAUAAGUCCAGGUAGUAGCUGUUCCUGAUUGGAUGAAUCUGUGCUUGUUCCUGAUUGGAUGAAUCUGUGCUCCUCGGCUCACUAUCAUAUACAUCAGGUUCAGUCUGGAUCUUCCUCACCUGAAGCCGGCUGGGAGUCCUGGAGGAUGAAAACGAAGAUGACGAAGACCCUGAGCAACAUGGCUGACUUCAUCAGAACGCUACCAUCGCUCUUCUAAAGUCUGGAGCAGAGCGGAGGUGCAGUUCAUCAGAACCGAGCCGUUGGACCCUGACGGACGUUACCAGAGCAACAAUAAGAUGAAGAGGAGCAGAAGGAGGAAGAAGGAGCAGGACUGACCUCCUGGGGUCCCGGUGCAUCCUGGGAAAGCGGCGGUUAUGAGGAGAAAGAAGACGACGUUCUUCGUUUGUC